Molecule: long non-coding RNA, 629 nt
Organism: Mesocricetus auratus (golden hamster)
Lineage: Eukaryota; Metazoa; Chordata; Mammalia; Rodentia; Cricetidae
Exons: 4
Source: RefSeq, a predicted model, not a curated record
AACCUAGGUACUGAAAGUAUGUGAAGAGUUGUUACAAUGGGCAGUCACUGCCACCUCAGCCUCAGCUGCCGAGCUUUUGGCUAAGUACAGGAUCCACCAACAGAAUCCCAUCCUGAAGGGAAGCCAUUGCAGGGACUUCGGCAGGGACCUGAAGCACAGACCCUGGAUGGAGGUUCUUGCUGCCUUCCUUUUCCCGGCUCGCUCAGUUUCCUCUCUUAUACAAUCCUGCCCCACCUGCCUAGGGAUAGCUCCACCCAUUGGCCUGGACCCUGGCACGUUAACUAGCAAUCAAGAAAACGCCUCACAGACGUGGCCAUGGGCCAACUGGACUAGGCAGUUCUUCAGCUGAGGUUCUUCCCAGGCGACUCCAGAUUUCAGACCUUUAAGUGUGCUUUGUGCUGAGACAUGGAUCAUCAGAACCAGAUUGGGGACAACUUUGAAGUUUUCAAAGGGUUCUGCUGCCUGCCACCCUUGUGCAGAAAAAAAAAAGAAAUGUCAACAGCGUUGCACAUGCAUUGAAUGCUGAAUGCAGGACCAGGCCCUGUAUUGAUGCAAGGAUGCUUAUUACGCUGAGGGAGUACUGAGGAUGUUAGCCAUUAAGUGAGGCAGACUAUGUCCAAUCCUGCAUC